CCUACGGGGUGCAGCAGUGGGGAAUAUUGGGCAAUGGGCGCAAGCCUGACCCAGCAACGCCGCGUGAAGGAAGAAGGCUCUCGGGUUGUAAACUUCUUUUAUCAGGGACGAAGCAAGUGACGGUACCUGAAGAAUAAGCCACGGCUAACUACGUGCCAGCAGCCGCGGGAAUACGUAGGUGGCAAGCGUGAUCCGGAUUUACUGGGGGUAAAGGGCGUGUAGGCGGGAACGCAAGUGCGAUGUGAAAACCAUGGGCUCAACCUGUGGCCUGCAUUUGAAACUGUUUUUCUUGAGUACUGGGGAGGCAGACGGAAUUCCUAGUGUAGCGGUGAAAUGCGUAGAUAUUAGGCGGAACACCAGUGGCGCAGGCGGUCUGCUGGACAGCAACUGACGCUGAGGCGCGAAAGCGUGGGGAGCAAACAGGAUUAGAUACCCUGGUAGUC
Molecule: ribosomal RNA, 443 nt
Filed under: uncultured bacterium
Lineage: Bacteria
Description: partial 16S ribosomal RNA
Rfam family: Bacterial small subunit ribosomal RNA
Source: RNAcentral